GGCCCAGUGGCGGAUGGUUUCUGCACCUGCUUUCUAUUAGCAUAUACUUGAAGUUAGCAGGAGAUGCUCGUUCGACUCGAGCCUGGGCCA
Non-coding RNA from Mycena latifolia, 90 nucleotides. Lineage: Eukaryota; Fungi; Basidiomycota; Agaricomycetes; Agaricales; Mycenaceae. The record is from the annotation of a GenBank genome assembly.